UACGUAGGGUGCAAGCGUUGUCCGGAAUUAUUGGGCGUAAAGAGCUCGUAGGCGGUCUGUCGCGUCGAAUGUGAAAACCCGGGGCUCAACCCCGGGCCUGCAUUCGAUACGGGCAGACUAGAGUUCGGUAGGGGAGUCUGGAAUUCCUGGUGUAGCGGUGAAAUGCGCAGAUAUCAGGAGGAACACCGGUGGCGAAGGCGGGUCUCUGGACAGUUCCUGACGCUGAGGCACGAAGGUCAGGGGAGCAAACGGG
This 253-nucleotide ribosomal RNA is filed under the name uncultured bacterium. Its description in RNAcentral is "partial 16S ribosomal RNA". It matches the Rfam family "Bacterial small subunit ribosomal RNA", at positions 524 to 776 of the family's 1533-position model. The record is from RNAcentral.